Molecule: ribosomal RNA, 433 nt
Filed under: uncultured bacterium
Lineage: Bacteria
Description: partial 16S ribosomal RNA
Rfam family: Bacterial small subunit ribosomal RNA
Source: RNAcentral
AACGAACGCUGGCGGCAUGCCUAACACAUGCAAGUCGAACGAGACCUUCGGGUCUAGUGGCGCACGGGUGCGUAACGCGUGGGAACCUGCCCUUAGGUUCGGAAUAACUCCCCGAAAGGGGUGCUAAUACCGGAUAAUGUCUUCGGACCAAAGAUUUAUCGCCUUUGGAUGGGCCCGCGUUGGAUUAGCUAGUUGGUAGGGUAAAAGCCUACCAAGGCGACGAUCCAUAGCUGGUCUGAGAGGAUGAUCAGCCACACUGGGACUGAGACACGGCCCAGACUCCUACGGGAGGCAGCAGUAGGGAAUAUUGGACCAUGGGCGAAAGCCUGAUCCAGCAAUGCCGCGUGAGUGAUGAAGGCCUUAGGGUUGUAAAGCUCUUUUACCCGGGAUGAUAAUGACAGUACCGGGAGAAUAAGCUCCGGCUAACUCCGUG